UGAGGAACAUGACCUUCGGCGGGGGAGUAGCCGGCCCAACGGCCGGGUAAUACCGCGUACGACCACAUGGGGACAUCCCUGAGUGGUGAAAGCAGCAAUGCGCCGAUGGAGUGCCUCGCGGCCUAUCAGCUAGUUGGUGAGGUAACGGCUCACCAAGGCAACGACGGGUAGCUGGUCUGAGAGGAUGGCCAGCCACAUUGGGACUGAGACACGGCCCAGACUCUACGGGGAG
Molecule: ribosomal RNA, 232 nt
Filed under: uncultured bacterium
Lineage: Bacteria
Description: partial 16S ribosomal RNA
Rfam family: Bacterial small subunit ribosomal RNA
Source: RNAcentral